CUACGGGAUGCACCAGUGGGGAAUAUUGCACAAUGGGCGCAAGCCUGAUGCAGCCAUGCCGCGUGUAUGAAGAAGGCCUUCGGGUUGUAAAGUACUUUCAGCGGGGAGGAAGGGAGUAAAGUUAAUACCUUUGCUCAUUGACGUUACCCGCAGAAGAAGCACCGGCUAACUCCGUGCCAGCAGCCGCGGUAAUACGGAGGGUGCAAGCGUUUAUCGGAAUUACUGGGCGUAAAGCGCACGCAGGCGGUUUGUUAAGUCAGAUGUGAAAUCCCCGGGCUCAACCUGGGAACUGCAUCUGAUACUGGGAAGCUUGAGUCUCGUAGAGGGGGGUAGAAUUCCAGGUGUAGCGGUGAAAUGCGUAGAGAUCUGGAGGAAUACCGGUGGCGAAGGCGGCCCCCUGGACGAAGACUGACGCUCAGGUGCGAAAGCGUGGGGAGCAAACAGGAUUAGAUACCCCCGUAGUC
RNAcentral lists this ribosomal RNA (464 nucleotides) under uncultured bacterium. RNAcentral describes it as "partial 16S ribosomal RNA". It matches the Rfam family "Bacterial small subunit ribosomal RNA", at positions 339 to 795 of the family's 1533-position model. The record is from RNAcentral.